Molecule: long non-coding RNA, 348 nt
Filed under: Olea europaea subsp. europaea
Lineage: Eukaryota; Viridiplantae; Streptophyta; Magnoliopsida; Lamiales; Oleaceae
Source: RNAcentral
AAUAUAUAUAUAUAUAUUUCUCUGUGAUCCUUUUCAGUAAAAGAUGUGUCAAACCCAGAGUAACUGGAGUAAUGCUUGUGGCAAAGCCCUUUCCUAUACUUUACAAUAAAUGCAUUGGAUUUUGCUAACAUGUGGGAUGCAGCAGGUGCAAAAUAGUUGGUGGAAGUGAUUUUUCCAAGCAAAAAAGAUAUGACAAAGAAGUAGAUGAAAUGCAAUGAUUAUAGAUUACCAUUGUGCCAUUGAUGUAUUUGAUGGCAGUAUGCUAAUGUUGUAAUUUCAGUUCUUUAACACGCUAAAUACCAGAUUUUUUCUUUUCCAAAUUCUCAUAUUGGAAUAGUCAAGUUCGUC